UGGCAAUCUCAAGUCUCCCAUUCCUUUUUCUUUCUUUCGGAGGCCUUGUUGAAAAUCCAAUUCAGCCUCUUCUCAAACUGAUUUUACAUAUCAUUUUCCUCUAUGCCCCAACCCUAGUCCAGCUCAAUCAUAUGAAGAUAGAUCGUAUUAGUCCAGUAUAGGAGUGCAAAGGGAAAUAAUUCUGAAGGUCCCAAGGGACAGGAACACCCCAGAUCCUCUGCAUCCUCCCAGAUAUCUUUAUUUUAACUACCAGGUCGCAGUUUUUGCCAUAGAAGCACGUGGCAGCAGAGAAUUUAUCCUAGGUUGCCACAACUGGAAUGACCAGUUUGGGUCCUGUCAGUGAUCUCAAAUUGCUGACUGCAAUCAGAAAGUGUUUUCUGUACCAGUUACAUGGUAGCCUGAGUUUCCUUAUCUUGUAGCUUACCUCCCUUAUUUGCUUUUGCAUGUUGCUUUAUUCUGCAUUAAACCUUACAGCCAGGGUUGUCUGAUGAUCCUUCAAUGUCAUGAGAAACAGAAAUUCUUGCAUUCCUUUUUGCAGAGGUUCUUUUGCAACAGAGGGUCUAGUAACUUCAUGGGGUUUGUGAUUGCUCCUGAUAUUGCAUGCAAAAUUUAGCAUGUAUGCAUAUAUGUGAAUUUUAUGGAAGGAGGAGCCAUAUCUUUCAUUAGAAUCUUAAUGAAGUGUAUGAACUCUGCCUGCACCCCCUGACCCCCACCGCCCAAGUCAUAAACCACUGACUCAUCUCCAUUUCAAUGCUCCGUAUUCUAUAGUAAAGCUUCCAUGUGUUCCUCAAAGCCUCACCUUCCCUACCAGGGAUUCUCAAAUGGGAGGGAAAAAAAAAAAAAGAGAGAGGGAGAGGAAAAAAGAAAAGCCUCACCUUCUUCAAGUUCAUCGUCUUGGUCCCAAAAGAACAAAGAGUUUGUUAUGAGCUUAUAGUUUUCCAGUGAUAGGAUGCUCGGAUGCUCCUCUCCACCUCUCUUUCCUUUGUGAUGCUGUAGCUACCCCACCUCUCCUUUGAGAGGUUGUUGUUUGACAUCUGACCAUUGGUAAAUAAAUGAUACAUUACAGAAGGGGAACUCUGCUAACUCCAGCUCGAAUUUCUGUCAUUGAAGCCAUAAUAUCAAUCAUGGAAAUGAAAGGUAAGCUUGAAAAGUGAUGUUCUCUGUAAGUACGCAUCAUACUGUAGAUUUAUGCUUUACAUACUUUCCCGCAUGGGUGUUACAGUUCACAAUAAAAAAAUUUUUAAAGUGC
This is a long non-coding RNA of Galeopterus variegatus (Sunda flying lemur), 1249 nucleotides long. RefSeq lists it as uncharacterized. The record is from RefSeq and is a predicted model, not a curated record. Lineage: Eukaryota; Metazoa; Chordata; Mammalia; Dermoptera; Cynocephalidae. The transcript is spliced from 2 exons.